UAGCUACUCUCUCCGUCCAACAAAAGAUGUCUCAAGUUUAUCAAAAUUUGGAUGUAUCUACACAUAACUUAGUGUAUAGAUGCAUUCAAAUUUAGUCAAAGUUGAGACAUCUUUGUUGGACAAGGGGAGUAUAAA
Molecule: non-coding RNA, 135 nt
Organism: Brachypodium distachyon (stiff brome)
Lineage: Eukaryota; Viridiplantae; Streptophyta; Magnoliopsida; Poales; Poaceae
Source: Rfam